CAGCCGCCGCGGUAAUACGAAGGGUGCAAGCGUUAAUCGGAAUUACUGGGCGUAAAGCGUGCGUAGGCGGUGAGUUAAGUCUGCUGUGAAAUCCCCGGGCUCAACCUGGGAAUGGCAGUGGAUACUGGCUCGCUAGAGUGUGUCAGAGGAUGGUGGAAUUCCCGGUGUAGCGGUGAAAUGCGUAGAGAUCGGGAGGAACAUCAGUGGCGAUGGCGGCCAUCUGGGACAACACUGACGCUGAGGCACGAAAGCGUGGGGAGCAAACAGGAUUAGAUACCCCGGUAGUCCCUGUCUCUUAUAC
RNAcentral lists this ribosomal RNA (301 nucleotides) under uncultured bacterium. Its description in RNAcentral is "partial 16S ribosomal RNA". It matches the Rfam family "Bacterial small subunit ribosomal RNA", at positions 509 to 807 of the family's 1533-position model. The record is from RNAcentral.